UCCCUGCCUCUGUGAGAUCUGUGGCACAGCCUAUAAAUCUUUUUUUGCUUCCACCAUUUUCCAAAGCAUCACUCACUCCUCUUGCAUCGGAAGGUUGCCAGAUGUUAUGGAACAAUCCCAGUAGAUUCAUGAACGUUGCUAGAUUGUCUAUCGGAGCAUACAUUCGCCGUGGAAGAAAAGGCCCAAAGACAUCAAAAAUCAUCCGAAUGAAUUCCACUUCUGUGAUGUUUGGGACGAGCAACUUCUGAAGUAUGAAUAAUGGAAGUUGGUUUUCAAGUAACAACAGGUCCACCAUAAAUCUAUUCAACAUAUGAUUCGACCCUAUAAUAACGUCUAUUCGAUCUAUUGGAUCAAAUCUAUACAUUCUGCAUAGAAACUCAAUAAUAAAGCAGCCAUCAAGAAGCAUCAUUUCUACAAAAUUUUCUGUGGUAUGUGAGACAGGUUCUGCAUAGCUAUUACGAGCAUUUACCUCCAAAUC
This 478-nucleotide unclassified non-coding RNA is filed under the name Hevea brasiliensis (rubber tree). Lineage: Eukaryota; Viridiplantae; Streptophyta; Magnoliopsida; Malpighiales; Euphorbiaceae. The record is from RNAcentral.